UUUUUAAAGUAUCAAUUGGAGGGCAAGUCUGGUGCCAGCAGCCGCGGUAAUUCCAGCUCCAAUAGCGUAUAUUAAAAUUGUUGCAGUUAAAAAGCUCGUAGUUGAAGUUCUGCUAAAAGUAACCGGUCUGCUUUUAAUAAAAGUGGUAUCUUGGUGUGUAUUUAGCAAUGAUGUCCUUUGAAGUGUUUUUUACUUUAUUGUAAUAAAGCAUAUUCAGGACUUUUACUUUGAGAAAAUUAGAGUGUUUCUAGCAGGCCGACGCUUUGAAUAC
RNAcentral lists this ribosomal RNA (271 nucleotides) under Hepatozoon canis. Its description in RNAcentral is "partial 18S ribosomal RNA". It matches the Rfam family "Eukaryotic small subunit ribosomal RNA", at positions 533 to 802 of the family's 1831-position model. The record is from RNAcentral. Lineage: Eukaryota; Apicomplexa; Hepatozoidae.